This 253-nucleotide ribosomal RNA is filed under the name uncultured bacterium. Its description in RNAcentral is "partial 16S ribosomal RNA". It matches the Rfam family "Bacterial small subunit ribosomal RNA", at positions 524 to 776 of the family's 1533-position model. The record is from RNAcentral.
UACAGAGGGGGCAAGCGUUGUUCGGAAUUACUGGGCGUAAAGGGCGCGUAGGCGGCCUGCUAAGUCGAUCGUGAAAUCCCCGGGCUUAACCCGGGAACUGCGACCGAUACUGGUUGGCUUGAAUUCGGGAGAGGGAUGCGGAAUUCCAGGUGUAGCGGUGAAAUUCGUAGAUAUCGGAAGGAACACCGGUGGCGAAAGCGGCGCGCUGGACCUCUUCUGACGCUGAGGCGCGAAAGCCAGGGGAGCAAACGGG